GAUGAACGCUGGCGGCGUGCCUAAUACAUGCAAGUCGAGCGAACGGCCUAGCCGCUUUCUUCUCUUAUGUUAUUGGCGGAUGGGUGAGUAACACGUGGAUAACCUAUCUAUAAGCCUCGCUUAACUUCGGGAUACCGUAUCUAAUCCCCUACAAUUUUUUGAACCGCAUGGUUCAAAAGUUCUCCACGUUCUUGCUGUUACUUAUAUAUGGAUUCUCGCUGCAUUUGCUAGUUGGUAAGGUAACGGCUUACCAUGGCAACGAUGCAUAGCCGACCUGAGAGAGUGAUCGGCCACACGGGAAAUGAGACACGGGCCAAAAGCCGACGGGAGGCAGCAGUAGGAAAUCUACCGCAAUGGGCGAAGGCGUGACGGAGCAACGCCGCGAGAGUGAUGAGGGGCUUCGGAUCGUAAAACACUGUUAUUAGGGAAAAACAAAUGUGUAAGUAAAUGUGCACAUCUUGACGGUACCUAAUAAGAAAGCCACGGCUAACUACGU
RNAcentral lists this ribosomal RNA (496 nucleotides) under uncultured bacterium. Its description in RNAcentral is "partial 16S ribosomal RNA". It matches the Rfam family "Bacterial small subunit ribosomal RNA", at positions 28 to 506 of the family's 1533-position model. The record is from RNAcentral.